UGCUUGUUGAGUUCUGUCUUAUAGAGCUUCAGUACUUGAGGAGAAGGGUGAAAGUCUGAAUAAAAUUCAUCAACUAGAACUGAAAGUCGGCAAAUCUCAUCAGUCAUGGCAGAGGAGACUUUAUUUUCUACUUCCUCAGUAACACGUUUGAUUUUUUCCUUAGUAUCUUCUGUCAAAAUGUUCAGCUGAUUUCGCACGAAGUCCAACCUAUCCUUCUGGUCUUCUCGCUCUUCCAUUGAGAGCACUCUUUUCUCUGCUGCAGCUACGUUUAUGGCGUCCAUAAUGUUUUUCACAGUAUCUAUUAUCUGUUUAGCUCUGAUAGUGUGCUGUUCAAACUUGGUUUUCACGGCUGACUGCGAGAUACACUCCUCAAAUAUCUGCUCAAAAUUUUGGAAUUCUUGGAAUCUUGUUUGAAACCCUUCAGCAAGUGCUCCUCCACUCUCUGGCAUCCCUUGGGCCUUCUGUCUCCU
Molecule: long non-coding RNA, 470 nt
Filed under: Gallus gallus (chicken)
Lineage: Eukaryota; Metazoa; Chordata; Aves; Galliformes; Phasianidae
Source: RNAcentral